Molecule: transfer RNA, 72 nt
Filed under: Peptococcaceae bacterium SCADC1_2_3
Lineage: Bacteria; Bacillati; Bacillota; Clostridia; Eubacteriales; Peptococcaceae
Rfam family: tRNA
About the family: Transfer RNA (tRNA) molecules are approximately 80 nucleotides in length. Their secondary structure includes four short double-helical elements and three loops (D, anti-codon, and T loops).
Source: Rfam by way of RNAcentral
GCCGGCGUAGCUCAACGGAAGAGCAGCUGAUUUGUAAUCAGCAGGUUAAGGGUUCGAAUCCCUUCGCUGGCU